Molecule: unclassified non-coding RNA, 731 nt
Filed under: Carpinus kweichowensis
Lineage: Eukaryota; Viridiplantae; Streptophyta; Magnoliopsida; Fagales; Betulaceae
Description: partial contains small subunit ribosomal RNA, internal transcribed spacer 1, 5.8S ribosomal RNA, internal transcribed spacer 2, and large subunit ribosomal RNA
Source: RNAcentral
CUUAUCAUUUAGAGGAAGGAGAAGUCGUAACAAGGUUUCCGUAGGUGAACCUGCGGAAGGAUCAUUGUCGAAGCCUGCCCAGCAGAACGACCCGCGAACUUGUAUAAACAACCGGGGGCAGGGGGCGAUCUCGCCCCGUGCCCUCGAACGGCAGGGAGACACUCGUGCCUUCUUGUCGAACAACGAACCCCGGCGCGGUCUGCGCCAAGGAACAUCAAUUAAAGAGUGCCUCCGAUCGCCUCGGAAACGUGCGYGUGUCGGAGGCGAAUCUUGUACAAAACCAUAACGACUCUCGGCAACGGAUAUCUCGGCUCUCGCAUCGAUGAAGAACGUAGCGAAAUGCGAUACUUGGUGUGAAUUGCAGAAUCCCGCGAAUCAUCGAGUCUUUGAACGCAAGUUGCGCCCGAAGCCAUCUGGUCGAGGGCACGUCUGCCUGGGUGUCACGCAUCGUCGCCCCCAACCCCAUCGCCUCUCCAAGAGACGAGGGCAGUUUGCGGGGCGGACAUUGGCCUCCCGUGAGCUUCCACUUGCGGUUGGCCUAAAAGCGAGUCCUAGGCGACGAGCGCCACGACAAUCGGUGGUUGCCAAAACCCUCGUGUCCCGUCGUGCGUGCCUCGUUGCUCAUCCUGUGCUCUGUGACCCUAUAGCGUCGCGACCGCGACUCUUCCAAUGCGACCCCAGGUCAGGCGGGACUACCCGCUGAAUUUAAGCAUAUCAAUAAGCCGGAGGAA